Molecule: ribosomal RNA, 253 nt
Filed under: uncultured bacterium
Lineage: Bacteria
Description: partial 16S ribosomal RNA
Rfam family: Bacterial small subunit ribosomal RNA
Source: RNAcentral
UACGUAGGCAGCGAGCGUUGUUCGGAAUUACUGGGCGUAAAGAGUGUGUAGGCGGUGUUCCCAGUCUGUUGUGAAAUCUCCCGGCUUAACUGGGAGGGUGCAGCGGAAACUAGAAUGCUAGAGGGUGGGAGAGGUAAGCGGAAUUCCUGGUGUAGCGGUGAAAUGCGUAGAUAUCAGGAGGAACACCUGUGGUGUAGACAGCUUACUGGACCACUUCUGACGCUGAGGUGCGAAAGCGUGGGGAGCAAACAGG